GAACGAACGCUGGCGGCGCGCCUAACACAUGCAAGUCGAACGAGCGAGAGAGAGCUUGCUUUCUCAAGCGAGUGGCGAACGGGUGAGUAACGCGUGAGGAACCUGCCUCAAAGAGGGGGACAACAGUUGGAAACGACUGCUAAUACCGCAUAAGCCCACGGCUCGGCAUCGAGCAGAGGGAAAAGGAGCAAUCCGCUUUGAGAUGGCCUCGCGUCCGAUUAGCUAGUUGGUGAGGUAAUGGCCCACCAAGGCGACGAUCGGUAGCCGGACUGAGAGGUUGAACGGCCACAUUGGGACUGAGACACGGCCCAGACUCCUACGGGAGGCAGCAGUGGGGAAUAUUGCACAAUGGGGGAAACCCUGAUGCAGCGACGCCGCGUGGAGGAAGAAGGUCUUCGGAUUGUAAACUCCUGUUGUUGAGGAAGAUAAUGACGGUACUCAACAAGGAAGUGACGGCUAACUACGUGCCAGCAGCCGCGGUAAAACGUAGGUCACAAGCGUUGUCCGGAAUUACUGGGUGUAAAGGGAGCGCAGGCGGGAAGACAAGUUGGAAGUGAAAUCCAUGGGCUCAACCCAUGAACUGCUUUCAAAACUGUUUUUCUUGAGUAGUGCAGAGGUAGGCGGAAUUCCCGGUGUAGCGGUGGAAUGCGUAGAUAUCGGGAGGAACACCAGUGGCGAAGGCGGCCUACUGGGCACCAACUGACGCUGAGGCUCGAAAGUGUGGGUAGCAAACAGGAUUAGAUACCCUGGUAGUCCACACUGUAAACGAUGAUUACUAGGUGUUGGAGGAUUGACCCCUUCAGUGCCGCAGUUAACACAAUAAGUAAUCCACCUGGGGAGUACGACCGCAAGGUUGAAACUCAAAGGAAUUGACGGGGGCCCGCACAAGCAGUGGAGUAUGUGGUUUAAUUCGACGCAACGCGAAGAACCUUACCAAGUCUUGACAUCCCUUGACGAUGCUGGAAACAGUAUUUCUCUUCGGAGCAAGGAGACAGGUGGUGCAUGGUUGUCGUCAGCUCGUGUCGUGAGAUGUUGGGUUAAGUCCCGCAACGAGCGCAACCCUUAUGGUCAGUUACUACGCAAGAGGACUCUGGCCAGACUGCCGUUGACAAAACGGAGGAAGGUGGGGAUGACGUCAAAUCAUCAUGCCCUUUAUGACUUGGGCUACACACGUACUACAAUGGCGUUAAACAAAGAGAAGCAAGACCGCGAGGUGGAGCAAAACUCAGAAACAACGUCCCAGUUCGGACUGCAGGCUGCAACUCGCCUGCACGAAGUCGGAAUUGCUAGUAAUCGCAGAUCAGCAUGCUGCGGUGAAUACGUUCCCGGGCCUU
RNAcentral lists this ribosomal RNA (1334 nucleotides) under uncultured bacterium. RNAcentral's name for it is "bacterial SSU rRNA". It matches the Rfam family "Bacterial small subunit ribosomal RNA", at positions 27 to 1382 of the family's 1533-position model. The record is from RNAcentral.